RNAcentral lists this long non-coding RNA (491 nucleotides) under Gallus gallus (chicken). Its description in RNAcentral is "long non-coding RNA NONGGAT006938". Lineage: Eukaryota; Metazoa; Chordata; Aves; Galliformes; Phasianidae. The record is from RNAcentral.
CUCGGGUAGAAUUUCUUUCUUUGAGAAAGCUGAGGCGAUCAAAACCCUGAUUAACCUCUGAUAUUCACGUGGUGCUCUUGAUCUUGAGGACCGAAGCAGUAACAAAGAGUUUGGCGUGGAGAUUACUGAUGAAGAGUUUGAGCUGCUACUUGACAGAAUCCCCCUUGAUGAAGAUGGAAAUGUCAGAUACCCCCAGUUCAUGGCCAGGUUUGAUUCCUGAGGGCCGUGUGGAAUCGUCCUAAUCCGGGAAGAGCCACUGCCUCCCUGUGUGAUCUGACACAGUGACAUAUCACUUGACCUCGGUCGCGGCAGCUGUACAGCGAGGUGGAAAAGGCGGCUGACGGACAAGCAGGGGAUGCCUUUCAGCACAGCUUCCUCGGGCAAAUCGAACUGUAUCCUGCAGGACCACUAGGAAGUCUCUGUGCCAAACAGCUUUCUGAUUCACACUUUCAUUCCCUGAGGACACCCAAGUAGGGCUGGGCUGCUGGGCG